This 440-nucleotide ribosomal RNA is filed under the name uncultured bacterium. Its description in RNAcentral is "partial 16S ribosomal RNA". It matches the Rfam family "Bacterial small subunit ribosomal RNA", at positions 339 to 795 of the family's 1533-position model. The record is from RNAcentral.
CUACGGGUGGCUGCAGUGAGGAAUAUUGCACAAUGGGGGGAACCCUGAUGCAGCAACGCCGCGUGGAGGAUGACGCAUUUCGGUGUGUAAACUCCUUUUAUAUGUCAAGAAAAUGACGGUAGCAUAUGAAUAAGCACCGGCUAGACUCCGUGCCAGCAGCCGCGGUAAUACGGAGGGUGCAAGCGUUACUCGGAAUCACUGGGCGUAAAGGACGUGUAGGCGGGUUGGAAAGUCAGGUGUGAAAUCCUACAGCUUAACUGUAGAACUGCACUUGAAACUUCUAAUCUAGAGUAUGGGAGGGGGAGAUGGAAUUAGUGGUGUAGGGGUAAAAUCCGUAGAUAUCACUAGGAAUACCUAAAGCGAAGGCGAUCUCCUGGAACAUUACUGACGCUAAGGCGUGAAAGCGUGGGGAGCAAACAGGAUUAGAUACCCUCGUAGUC